This 1075-nucleotide small RNA is filed under the name Arabidopsis thaliana (thale cress). Its description in RNAcentral is "ATSL021120". The record is from RNAcentral. Lineage: Eukaryota; Viridiplantae; Streptophyta; Magnoliopsida; Brassicales; Brassicaceae.
AUUAACGUUAUUUUGAUAAAUUGAUACAAAUAAUAAAUCACUUAUAUUCAAUGAUGCAAAAUUAAUAUCAUUUUUUUGCAACUGAUGCAUAUUAACAUCGAUUAAAAUAAUCACUACAAACAAACAUGUUAUACGGUAAUGUUUCGACAGUUUAAGAGUUACUAUAUAUGGAGGAGUGAACAAGGCAAACAACCACCAAAAACCAAAAAAAAAAGAGAUAGCUACUAAUAUAGAUCUUGGAGCAUGCCAAAUUUUACAAGAAAAAGACCCAGAAGAUUAUACUUUGGGGAGAGACCAAUUUGGGUUAAAAACAAGAGGAAAUCAAGAAGCAGUAAUGUCAUUAAGCAUAUAGAACACGGAAAAUCAUCUUCCAAGUGGUUUUGUUCAAGUUGACAAGAGAAGAGAGACAUUUUUUUUUGUAUCCUACAAUUCGAACUUGCAUGGAAGAAGAGACAUCAAAGGAUUUCAAAAGAACCCAAAACCUCAUAAUAAGACUCAAUUGUAUCUAAAACACCAACUUUGAUAUUGAAGAAAAUCUUAAUUUCAUUCUCAACUAAUAUAAGAAGAAGAAGCAUAACUAAGAGUUGUUGGUGUUAUAUAGAAGUGGGAGGAAGCCAUACAGGGAGGCUGUCAAACUCAACCCCUUAUGGUGUUUCAACUUGGUCUUCAAAAUGACGGAUACUUCUGGUGGCGAUAUCGUAAACACCAGAUAUCAUAAAAUCUGAUCUUUUAUGAACAAAUUAUACUUGGCGUUCGCUUUGUCUUUCAUCCAUCAAACAUUAUAUGUAUGAUUGUAUCCAAAAAAAAAUAAAAAAAUCAUGUGAUAUGAAAGUUUUUCUCUUUCGAAAAAAUAAUCUAUGCAUUCAAAACAGAGUUCUAGUCUAUGUUAACAAUGCCAUGCAAUUUCAUAAUUAUUUCUUUCUGCCUAAAAUCCUUUGUAUCAUCUUUCUUAUUCUCUUUCUGUGUAAUCUACCUUCUACCAUAACAAAAACCGAAGUUCCAUAAACAGGUAAUCUAUUUUUGUUUUAAAUUCUUAAACUGAAUACAAAAUAUUUAUCCUUUUGUUAUAAGUUUU